GAGCACGUAGGUGGGUUUGUAAGUCAGAUGUGAAAGCCUUCUGUUCAACGGAAGAAUUGCAUCUGAAACUGCAAGUCUUGAGUGUAGGAGGGGAGAAUGGAACUUCUGGUGGAGCGGUGAAAUGCGUAGAUAUCAGAAGGAACGCCGGCGGCGAAAGCGAUUCUCUGGCCUAUUACUGACACUCAGUGCGCGAAAGCUAGGGGAGCAAACGGGAUAGAUACCCCGGUAGUCCUAGCCGUGAACGAUGGGCACUAAGUAGAGGGAAUUACCGAUGUUCUCUCUGCCGUAGCUAACGCAUUAAGUGCCCCGCCUGGGGAGUACGGCCGCAAGGCUAAAACUCAAAAGAAUUGACGGGGGCUCGCACAAGCGGUGGAGCAUGUGGCUUAAUUCGAUGCAACGCGAAAAACCUUACCGGGGCUUGACAUGGUAGAAGUAGGAACCCGAAAGGGUAACGAACGGUAUCCAGUCCGUAGCUAUCACAGGUGUUGCAUGGCUGUCGUCAGCUCGUGUCGUGAGACGUUGGGUUAAGUCCCCUAACGAGCGAAACCCUUGUUUUUAGUUACCAGCGGGUUAUGCCGGGUACUCUAGAAAGACUGCCGUCGUCAAGACGGAGGAAGGUGGGGAUGACGUCAAGUCAUCAUGGCCCUUAUGCCCCGGGCUGCACACGUGCUACAAUGGUCGGUACAAACGGAUGCGAAGCCGAGAGGUGAAGCGAAUCC
This 719-nucleotide ribosomal RNA is filed under the name uncultured anaerobic ammonium-oxidizing bacterium. Its description in RNAcentral is "bacterial SSU rRNA". It matches the Rfam family "Bacterial small subunit ribosomal RNA", at positions 565 to 1274 of the family's 1533-position model. The record is from RNAcentral.